AAUAUUGCGAAAUGGAGGGAACUCUGACGCAGCGACGCCGCGUGAGCGGUGAAGGUUAUAGGAUCGUACCGCUCUGUCCUUGGGGAAGAAGGCGGCCAUUUAUGGUCACUUGACGGUACCCAAGGAGGAAGCCCCGGCUAAGUAGGUGCCAGCAGCCGCGGUAACACGUAGGGGGCAAGCGUUGUCCGGAAUUAUUGGGCGUAAAGGGUGCGUAGGCGGCCUUUUAAGUCAGAUGUGAAAGACCACGGCUUAACCGUGGGGUUGCAUUUGAAACUGGAAGGCUUGAGUAUCGGAGAGGGUAGUGGAAUUCCCAGUGUAGCGGUGGAAUGCGUAGAUAAUGGGAGGAACACCAGUGGCGAAGGCGACUACCUGGACGAAAACUGACGCUGAGGCACGAAAGCUAGGGGAGCAAACA
RNAcentral lists this ribosomal RNA (415 nucleotides) under uncultured bacterium. RNAcentral's name for it is "partial 16S ribosomal RNA". It matches the Rfam family "Bacterial small subunit ribosomal RNA", at positions 360 to 774 of the family's 1533-position model. The record is from RNAcentral.